CCCGGAGGCAGGAAAGGCUUCGGCCGGACAGGGAUGAGCAUGCGGCGCAUUAGGCAGUAGGCGGGGUAACGGCCCACCUAACCGACGAUGCGUAGGGGUUCUGAGAGGAAGGUCCCCCACACUGGUACUGAGACACGGACCAGACUCCUACGGGAGGCAGCAGUGAGGAAUAUUGGUCAAUGGUCGGGAGACUGAACCAGCCAAGCCGCGUGAGGGAUGAAGGUACAGAGUAUCGUAAACCUCUUUUGUCAGGGAACAAAGGCGGGGACGUGUCCCCGGAUGAGUGUACCUGAAGAAAAAGCAUCGGCUAACUCCGUGCCAGCAGCCGCGGUAAUACGGAGGAUGCGAGCGUUAUCCGGAUUUAUUGGGUUUAAAGGGUGCGCAGGCGGUCUGUUAAGUCAGCGGUCAAAGCCCGGGGCUCAACCCCGGCCCGCCGUUGAAACUGGCAGUCUCGAGUUGGAGAGAAGUAUGCGGAAUGCGCGGUGUAGCGGUGAAAUGCAUAGAUAUCGCGCAGAACUCCGAUUGCGAAGGCAGCAUGCCGGCUCCACACUGACGCUGAGGCACGAAAGCGUGGGUAUCGAACAGGGGUAGAUACCCUGGUAGUCCACGCAGUAAACGAC
Molecule: ribosomal RNA, 620 nt
Filed under: uncultured bacterium
Lineage: Bacteria
Description: bacterial SSU rRNA
Rfam family: Bacterial small subunit ribosomal RNA
Source: RNAcentral